CAGCAAUCUUUUUGUUGAGAAUAAUGAAAGAGUUUUGUCACAGGAAUGAGUUUAUCUAUGAAUCUCAAUCAGCUUCCAUCUCAAAUCUCUUCAAAGCUUGCCAGGUCCGGUGAUUUGCCAGUCUCUACUCCUGUCUUCUCAGAGCAGUUUUGAAAUGGUUGCCAAGAUGACACAUAAUCGGGGUAUUUGUCUUUUAAAGGCAGAGUUAAUAGGUGCUCCGCAAGGAGCCUUUGCACACAUUUUGCCUCUGUCGACAGCUCAGUUUGUUCCCUAAACCUGGCCUGCUUGAAUAUCAAAGAUGCCAUUAAACGGCCAACGCUACAGUGCAGUGCUCAGUGCAGGAAAACGUGCGGACUCAGAUCCACAGCAAUUACAGGUGGCCUAAAGAGCAACAUCAAAGACCUUGAUUAGACACCCCUCUGUUUUAAAAGUCUGACCUGCCCCUAUGCAGUUCUUCCCCUGUGUUGGGAGAUUGGACCUGACUCCUGUCCUUCAUACGGUGACAUAAAAUGGGCUCCACUGUGCGAACAAGACAAAUUGCUGUCUGUAAAAGCAGCGUGGAGCAGCCAGUAGACAUGACUGGCUUCUCUCCUUCUUCUGAAGGCUGCCUUGAUACAGAGCAGCUCCCACCACUGUCAGUGCAUGGUGGACCUUGGACUUCAGCCAUGUGAGGACUCCUGAAAAGGUCAUAAGGAAGAAAACAAUGGGAUCAGUACUGAGAAGAAGCAGCCGUACUGGAAAGGGGAUUUGCCUGGACCUGACUUUAAUGCAGCGGGCUUCCUUUUGGACACCCGAUUCAGACUAUCAGUUAACUUGGUCUUCUGAGUAUAAAGCUGUAGCUGUGACAAAAAUGUAGUGAAGCAAGCAAACUCCCCAUACCAAAUUCCUCUGUACAUGUGGUUCCGUCACUUAGAGAAAAUGUUGAUUGAGAGAACAUUAGUGGUUUUAAAGAAAAAAAACACCUGACUGAUAGAACAGCACCAAAUACAUUGAUGUUGAAAGUGUCUUACUAUAUAUUUCUCACUUUUAUUUGCUGCCAUUUUUCAUAGAAAAAAAGCAAAAACACAAAACUUGGCUAUUCUGGCAGGGAGACACUAUUUUUUCACUCUGUCCGUGUAUGGGAACUAUUGAGUCACAGCCUGAGCCACUGAUUGAGCAUCUGGGGAAAGGACCCGGUCAGCCCUGGGAGCACAGGUGAAGGCGAUUCAGGUGUGGGACCAGAAGGGGUGGAGUGUGGCUGCACCUCUUUUAGACCCCAUUUAAGGGCUGACUGCCACUGGGGAUGGUUCUCUGGUUGGUGGUCCCUCCCUAGUGGAGUUUUCCUGGGAGUGUAGCCCUUUAGAGACAGGUGAGUGCUUUCCCUUUUACUUUGUGGCAUCUUCUACUGUGCUGAUCCCUUUUCCCUUGCACCACUUAUAUUACCCUUCGAACAUGUUGAUCUUUCUGAUUGGUGCACCAUGACUGCUCUUGAGUCCCAGCAUUUUGAAAGGGGCUGAAGGAAGGGAGAAGAGCCGCUUGGUGCUUUGCUCAGUGCAGCUGAGAAGACUGUGGUUCCUUGCGGUAUUCUGCUUUCCUGCAGUUGCACUCCUAGCCCUGAGUGUUGCCAAGAUAUUAUUUCAAAACUGUAUUGGUG
Long non-coding RNA from Coturnix japonica (Japanese quail), 1633 nucleotides. NCBI's taxonomy places the organism in Eukaryota, Metazoa, Chordata, Aves, Galliformes, Phasianidae. The record is from Ensembl.